UCAUAUACAUUGAGAUGAUACAAAGUAAAACACAACCCUAUAUAGAGUAAAAAUUAUCUUGCUUUAACAAGGUUAAAUAUUUUUUAAGCAUUGAUGUUAUGUUUUAAUAACUACAUUUCAUGAUUUAAUUUAUAACUUUAUCUCUUAUGUGAACAUCCUUGAGUUGGAUAUUAUUUUUUAAGAGCAUUUUGUAGCUAGAUAUAUAUGCUAUCUGGUUUUAAAUGAUGGUUGAUUUAAUCCAAAAAUACCACUAACUCA
Molecule: long non-coding RNA, 258 nt
Filed under: Elaeis guineensis (African oil palm)
Lineage: Eukaryota; Viridiplantae; Streptophyta; Magnoliopsida; Arecales; Arecaceae
Description: long non-coding RNA (EGUI_LNC020051)
Source: RNAcentral